ACUGUCGUGGCCGAGUGGUUAAGGCGAUGGACUAGAAAUCGUUUGGGAUCUUCCCGCGCAGAUUCGAAUCCUGCCGACAUCG
RNAcentral lists this transfer RNA (82 nucleotides) under Dreissena polymorpha. It matches the Rfam family "tRNA". Rfam says of the family: Transfer RNA (tRNA) molecules are approximately 80 nucleotides in length. Their secondary structure includes four short double-helical elements and three loops (D, anti-codon, and T loops). The record is from Rfam by way of RNAcentral. Lineage: Eukaryota; Metazoa; Mollusca; Bivalvia; Myida; Dreissenidae.